Molecule: ribosomal RNA, 460 nt
Filed under: uncultured bacterium
Lineage: Bacteria
Description: partial 16S ribosomal RNA
Rfam family: Bacterial small subunit ribosomal RNA
Source: RNAcentral
CCUACGGGAGGCAGCAGUGAGGAAUAUUGGUCAAUGGACGUGAGUCUGAACCAGCCAAGUAGCGUGAAGGAUGACUGCCCUAUGGGUUGUAAACUUCUUUUAUAUGGGAAUAAAAUGUUCCACGUGUGGUGUUUUGUAUGUACCAUAUGAAUAAGGACCGGCUAACUCCGUGCCAGCAGCCGCGGUAAUACGGAGGAUCCGAGCGUUAUCCGGAUUUAUUGGGUUUAAAGGGAGCGUAGGUGGAUUGUUAAGCCAGUUGUGAAAGUUUGCGGCUCAACCGUAAAAUUGCGGUGGAAACUGGCAGUCUUGAGUACAGUAGAGGUGUGCGGAAUUCGUGGUGUAGCGGUGAAAUGCUUAGAUAUCACGAAGAACUCCGAUUGCGAAGGCAGCUCACGGGAGUGCAACUGACACUGAGGCUCGAAAGUGUGGGUAUCAAACAGGAUUAGAUACCCCUGUAGUC